This is an RNA transcript of Diceros bicornis minor, 3583 nucleotides long. It is a transcript of the gene named leukocyte immunoglobulin-like receptor subfamily B member 3, with no coding region annotated. The transcript is spliced from 9 exons. The record is from RefSeq and is a predicted model, not a curated record. NCBI's taxonomy places the organism in Eukaryota, Metazoa, Chordata, Mammalia, Perissodactyla, Rhinocerotidae.
CACACUGUCUGUUGCUUACAGUCUUCCCAUUGUCUUGAAGAUGAAAUCCAAAAUACUUGCGUGGUGUUCAAGAUCCUGUGUAACAAGGCUCAGCCUUCUCCUGAUGGCUCUCAAUUCUGAGAACAGCUCAGAUCUUUUUGGUCGAGGAUGCGCCCCACCACCACCUCUGGGCUCAACCCUGCUCAGGGGUAAGGGACCUCUCACAUCCAGGCCCCAGGUUGCAGGACGUCUACCUGUUAUUGAAUCUCACUGUCUCGUUUACUUUUUUCUUCCAACUUGUAUGAAAACAAGACCAUAGAGCCAGCCCUGGUGGCCUAGUGGUUAAAGUUCAUCACACUCCACUUCAGCAGCCCAGGUUCGGUUCGCAGGCACAGAACUACACCAUUCAUCUGUCAGUAGUCAUGCUGUGGUGCCAGCUCACAUAGAAGAACCAGAACUACUUACAACUAUAUCCAACUAUGUACUGGGGCUUUGGGGAAGGUAAAGGAAGAAAAAAGGAAGAAGACUGAUAACAGAGAUUACCUUAGGGCAAAACUUCCUCUGCAAAAAAAAAAAAAAGUCUAUAACUGAAUUGUUUGCCAUCUAAAUAUUUGUAAUGUCUAUCUUCAUUCAUCUGAGUCCCAUGAGUCCCAGGAAAGACUCUAUCAGCUUCACCAGUGACUCUCCAGUGCCUGGCACCAUAACUGGACAUGGUAUCUGCUCAAUAAAUAUUGACUGACUGCCCGGCUGAUGAAAGAGAGAAAGAAAAUCUGCAUUUACAGAAGCUCAGCAAAGGGAAGUGAUUUGCCCCAGGUCACAAAGCUCAUGUGAGAGGCACAGUCAGAGUUGGAAGAGAAAUUGGGCUGGCUCUUCUCCUGCCCUCUCCAAGCCUCAUGAUCUGGGACAAGUGUCACCCUCUGGAUUUGGAUUUGGCAUGAGGUGAAGGCAGAGUGUGUGGGGUCUGGCAAGUCUCAGAUCUGGUCUGGAAGAUCCCAAGAGCCCUCUCUCUCUUCAGAAUCAUCCUUCUGACACUGGAGGGUGAGGUUGAGCAGAGUGAGGCCCUGGCAGGGGCUGUUCCCCUUCCUGUAAGGUCACAGAUGAGGAACCCGUGACGUGUCACAUGAAGCCUGGACAUUGUCACACUCCUUGCGUCUGCCCAUCCUGCUAGGUCUGUGGUCUUUAUAAGUCAUCAAUACCACUGGGGACCAUGGAAGGCAGUGCCAGGACACCUACUCUCACUGCCCUUCUCUGCCUCGGACUGUGUCAAGGCCCAUGGAACCGGGUACAGGCAGGAUCCCCCCUUAAACCCUCCAUCUGGGCUGACCCAGGACCCAUGGUCACCAAGGGAAGCCCUGUGACCAUCUGGUGUCAGGGGUCUCUGCAGACUGAUGUCUACCAUCUGUAUAAAGAGAGGGUCUCUAAACCCUUGGAUACACAGGCCCCACAGGACUCCAGCAACAAGACCAGUUUCUCCAUCGAAUUUAUGAGCUCACACACUGCAGGGCUAUAUCAGUGUGCAUACAACACCAGCAGGAAUGACUCAUCAGAGCGCAGUGACGCCCUGCCCCUGGUGGUGACAGGAGUGUACAGCGCACCCUCCCUCUCAGCCCACCCAGGCCCUGUGGUGGCAUCAGGAGAGAACGUGUCCCUCUCCUGUAGCUCAGAGGCCCCACUGGACACUUUCCAUUUGCUGAAGGAGGGAGGAGCUGACCUGCCCCGACACAUGGAAUUGAGGACCUAUCAUGGGAGGUGGCAAGCUGUCUUCCCUGUGGGCCCCGUGAACACCUCCCAUGGGGGGACCUACAGAUGCUAUGGUUCUCCCCGCUCCUACCCCUACGUGUGGUCACACCCUAGUGACCCUCUGCAUCUCGAGGUUACAGGCGUGUACAGGGAGCCCUCCCUCUCUGCCCAGCCUGGCUCCCUGGUGCUCUCUGGACACAGUCUGACCCUCCAGUGUUGCUCAGAGGCCGGCUUUGACAGAUUCGCUCUGACCAAGGACGAGGGGCUUACACCUCCCCAGCGUCUUCACAGGCAGCACAACCCCUACUUCCCUCUGGGCCACGUGAACCACACCCACGGGGGCCAGUACAGAUGCUACAGUGGACACAACCUCUCCUCUGCAUGGUCAGCCCCCAGUGCCCCCCUGGACAUCCUGAUCGCAGGAACGUAUGACAAACCCUCCCUCUCCGCCCAGCCGGGGCCCUCAGUGCCCUCAGGAGAGAACGUGACCCUGCAGUGUCGCUCUGAGAUCUGGCUGGAUACCUUCCAUCUGUCCAAGGAGGGGUCACUUGCUCCUCCCCAGCACCUUCAUCUGCAGGACACGGCUGCACCCUUUCAGGCCAACUUCACCAUCAGUCCUGUGACCUCAGAUCAUGAGGGGACCUACAAGUGCUAUGGUUCAAACAGCACCGCCCCCUACCUGUUGUCACUCCCCAGUGACCCCUUGGAGCUCCUGGUCUCACGUGAGGAGUCCUCGUCGUGCCCCUUGUGUCAUCAUGGAGGCACUGAGGAUGGACUCUCCCCCACGGAGUCAGGCCCACAGGGGGGUCUCGAGUGGUACCUGAAGGCUUUGAUUGGGGUCUCGGCGGCCUUCAUCCUGCUGCUUUCCAUCCUCCUCCUCCUCUUCCUCAUCCGACACCGGCGUCAGGGCAAACACAAGACCUCAGGUGAGUAGCGAACAAGGUGACCUGGGUCACAGGAGGAGGUGGGCUUAGGGCACCAGCCAGAGGGAAACCAAAUAGAUGGGAAGGUCAACUAGUAAAAGAUUUCCCAGAAUCUCAAAUCAGAAAAUCCUAAAGACAACACUUAAUACAGCAUAUAUGUUAACAUUUAAGGUAUUUUUUACCUUUUGAAUCUUAUGAAAUAUUGAAACAUACACACAAGUAUGUGUUACAGUUUCCUUCUUUCCUCUCGAAUCCCACAUGGAAGGCAAGUGGUGAAGACCUCCCAGGGCUGAGACUCUGUCCAUCGUGACCCAGCCCAGAAAUAGGCUGAUCUCCAACUCCCUGCAGGGGCUGCAGACCCAGAGCCCAAGGACAGAGGCCUACAGAUCAGGAAAUUCCUGCCCCCGAAGACCCCAGACCUCACCCCGCCCUCGGCCCCUCUCUGCCCCUAACACUCCUGUCUCCUCCCCCUAGCUCCAGCCCAGCUGCUGAGGCCCAGGAAGAGACCCUCUGUGAGAGGAGAGGAGGGGCCGCCCUGGGGGGUGGGCACAGAGAUUUCAGGAGGCCAUGGGAGGCUGGGCUGGGAGGUCCUGGGGAUUUGGGGUGAGAAGGACUGAAAUCCCACCCUGAGUGACCUCGGGCACAUCUCCUCACCCCUGGACCUCAGUGGCCCAUCUGGGAGCAGAGGGGGGCUGCAGCCCUGAGAGAUCUCAGGGAAUCCUGCCAAGAGACACACCCCCUGUUCUGCCCCAGCAGAUGCUGCCGUGAAGGACACACAGUCCGAGGAGGGGGUGGAGCUGGACCAUCAGGUGAGACUCCUGCUCCUGUCCAGGCCACCAGGGACCUACCUGUUGCCAAACGGCCCCCAGGAUGAAGACCCCCAGGGAGUGACAUAUGCCCAGGUGAACCGCCCAAGGUCAAGACUCAGGCAGGGAGUGGCC